GAUACUCCUGCAGCGCCGCGUAAUAGGAGCUGCAGCGUUAUCGUAUUACUGGCGUAAGCGCAGCAGUCGUUAUCAAGUCGGAGUGAAUCCCCGGAUCAACGUGGAACUGCAUUAAAACUGGCAGGUAGAGUUUGUAGAGGGGGUAGACUUCCAGGUGUAGCGGUGAAAUCGUAUGAUCGGAGGAAUACCGGGGAGAAGGCGGCCCCUGGACAAAGACGACGCUCAGGUAGAAAGCGGAGGAGCAAACAGGAUUAGAUACCCUGGUAGUCCACGCCGUAAACGAUGUCGACUUGGAGGUUGUGCCCUUGAGGCGUGGCUUCCGGAGCUAACGCGUUAAGUCGACCGCCUGGGGAGUACGGCCGCAAGGUUAAAACUCAAAUGAAUUGACGGGGGCCCGCACAAGCGGUGGAGCAUGUGGUUUAAUUAGAUGCAACGAGAAGAACCUUACCUACUCUUGACAUCCAGAGAAUUUCGCAGAGAUGUUUUGGCGCUUUCGGGAACUAUGAGACAGGUGGUGCAUGGCUGUUGUCAGCUUGUGUUGUGAAAUGUUGGGUUAAGUCCCGCAACGAGCGCAACCCUUCUCUUUUGUUGCCAGCGGUCCGGCCGGGAAUUCAAAGGAGACUGCCAGUGAUAAACUGGAGGAAGGUGGGGAUGACGUCAAGUCAUCAUGGCCCUUACGAGUAGGGUUACACACUUGUUCCAAUGGCGCAUACAAAGAGAAGCGAACUCGCGAGAGCAAGCGGACCUCAUAAACUGAGUUCUAUUCCGGAUUGGAUUUUGCAAUUGGAUUCCAUGAAGUGGGAAUGGUUGGUAAUCGUAGAUCACAAUGCUACGGUGAAUACGUUCCCGGGCCUUGUACACACCGCCCGUCACACCAUGGGAGUGGGUUGCAACAAGAAGCUAGGUAGCA
RNAcentral lists this ribosomal RNA (910 nucleotides) under Enterobacter sp. RNAcentral's name for it is "bacterial SSU rRNA". It matches the Rfam family "Bacterial small subunit ribosomal RNA", at positions 496 to 1437 of the family's 1533-position model. The record is from RNAcentral. Lineage: Bacteria; Pseudomonadati; Pseudomonadota; Gammaproteobacteria; Enterobacterales; Enterobacteriaceae.